ACCAGCGGCUUUGCGGAGGAGGAGGCCUGCUCCUGAGACGCCUGGGCUUCUGCUGUCCCCCUGACCAGUGUGCAGAAGACCCUGCCAGCAAUUCAACACGGCACAUUUUUAAGGAGAGUGUUGGGAGCUCCUCUAAGAGAGAAACAACCGAGCCAGGCGGGCUUCUGGCCUUGAGGUCAGAACCCUGAGCUUAGCCAGCUGGGGCUGAAGAGAGGCAGGGGGUGGCAGCGAGCUCAGGGCAGGCGGAGUGGGGAAAAGUCUCUGGGCCCGGCUGGGGUGCAGGGGCUGGUGGGGGUUGGCCCUGCCCGGGAAGGGGCUCUGUGGCCUGAUGCAGCAUGAAUAGUAUGUGCUCUUCCUGCCCACUCUCUGAGCCAAAGCCCUCCAGCUCAGCCCCGAGGGGCCGCCUGCACAGCCUGACGAUCGCUGGAGAUUCGGUCAGCACUGGCCAGGCCCCUGGCUAGCCCCGCGGUCCAAGAGGAGGCUGAGUAGACUCAGAGCUCGGCGACUUAGAAACACUGCAGGGAAGCUGGCCUGGAAGAGCCUCUCCUCGUCUAGGAUAAAUGACCCUGGAGGAUGAGCGCGGUGGAGUCUGCUGAUGGCUUCCUUCCUGCCUUCCUUCCUUCCGGCCUGUGCCAGGCCUCAGGGCUCCGUGAACGGUCACUGCCCGCACAGCACUCAGCACUGAAGGUGCAGGUCCAGCUACUGGGAAGUCCGGUCAGGAGAACGCAGAGCGGGCUGAUGAAAAAGAUCUGAAUACCAUAGGGACCCCCUGAAGGGAGAGCUGCGGCCUUGCUGCAGGGCACGGAAGCACAGCUUGAAAUGUGUCUGUACCAUCCUCUUAAAAACAAGCUGAGAGAAGAGGAGACCGUGGGAACCAACGCCAUGAGCGCAGAGUAAAACCUCCGUGGGGAAGAGAGAAUGGCAACUUGACACGCAGACUGUCCUCCUGCUGUGUGGGAGAAGAGCUUGACAACCCCUCGCCCAGAGAGGAUGGGGGAAGUGACGCUGGGGGGAGAUGUCAGAGAUGAGCAAAGUUCAUACAGACCAAGACUGUGAGCAGUCCGUCUCCCCAGAGGAGAGGCUCAGACCAAAGGAACAGAGCAAUCAAUUCAAGGGAAAAUGAAUAAAAUGAUGCAUAAAGUGAAUCUCCCCCAAUGUCAAAAACAAAUCUGACUCUGGAGGGUUAGAAACUAGAAUGACUGUUAUGUGUGAACAAAGGAAGACAGAAUUGGAAGGAUCCGGGGUGCAUUCCCGCUGGUGACCCCCUCCUCCCCGAAGCCUUCCAGCAAGCCAAUGACACGGCUGUGUGACAAAGCCCCAAGCAAACCCUCUGUCCCCCAGAACUUAACCCAUCUCCUUAGACAGCAGGGGUACCGUGUCUUCCUAACUCCCAGGUUUUAUCAGACUCCUCAGUAUUGAUCGUGAUACCACGGGCUCCUGGGUUCCUCUGCGUCCUCCACACACCAAGGCCAAGACGCCAUGCAGUGUAGAGAAAUUCACCUGCAGGGACCCUGGUAAGGGGUGGAGGCUGGUGGUGUGGGGAGGGGACCAGCAGCAUCCUCCUCUCGUGCAGUGCUCAGGGGGCAGUGGAGACCCCUUCCUGGAGUGAGCCUGCCUCCGACCCUAGCUGCCCUUCCCGGUUGGUGGGAGCAGCCGCGAGCACUGACCUGCCUAACUCGGCGAGCUGUUUCAGAGCGCAGGGCUCGCGGGGUGGAGACGCCGCCCCGAGUUGGAGGCUGCUGUCACAUUCCCAUGACCGCCACAGAAGAACAGACACUGCAGUCGGCCCCUGGGCAGCUGGGCACCAAGCGUGCCGGGACACACGUGCAAUGUGAAAGUGAGCGCUUCCCUUUGCAGAG
Molecule: long non-coding RNA, 1859 nt
Filed under: Chinchilla lanigera (long-tailed chinchilla)
Lineage: Eukaryota; Metazoa; Chordata; Mammalia; Rodentia; Chinchillidae
Description: lncRNA (ENSCLAG00000025285.1)
Source: RNAcentral